CUGCAACUCGCCUGCAUGAAGUUGGAAUUGCUAGUAAUCGCGAAUCAGAAUGUCGCGGUGAAUACGUUCCCGGGCCUUGUACACACCGCCCGUCACACCAUGAGAGUUGGGGAUACCCAAAGCCCGUGAGCCAACUUUUAGAGGCAGCAGUCGAAGGUAGAAUCAAUGAUUGGGGUGAAGUCGUAACAAGGUAAC
RNAcentral lists this ribosomal RNA (195 nucleotides) under uncultured bacterium. RNAcentral's name for it is "partial 16S ribosomal RNA". It matches the Rfam family "Bacterial small subunit ribosomal RNA", at positions 1305 to 1500 of the family's 1533-position model. The record is from RNAcentral.